AUUUAUCAAAUUUUUAAACAAUUCUAACUAUUCAAAUAAUCAUCCAUUCAAGAAAGGAGUAUAAUACCAUGCAAUCAUUUACAUAUUCACUGUCACCACUAGAAAAUUUAAUUAUUUUAUUAUACUCUUCAGGGCUGGAACUUUAGUAGCUUAAUUUACUAAAUGUUUAAGUCCUAUUUCUCAUUGAAUGGGACUUAAAAA
Molecule: non-coding RNA, 201 nt
Organism: Staphylococcus sp. HMSC078E07
Lineage: Bacteria; Bacillati; Bacillota; Bacilli; Caryophanales; Staphylococcaceae
Source: Rfam